GACGAACGCUGGCGGCGUGCUAAUACAUGCAAGUAGAACGCUGAAGAGAGGAGCUUGCUCUUCUGGGAAGAGUUGCGAACGGGUGAGUAACGCGUAGGUAACCUGCCUUGUAGCGGGGGAUAACUAUUGGAAACGAUAGCUAAUACCGCAUAACAAUGGGUGACCCAUGUCAUUCAUUUAAAAGGGGCAACUGCUCCACUACAAGAUGGACCUGCGUUGUAUUAGCUAGUAGGUGAGGUAACGGCUCACCUAGGCGACGAUACAUAGCCGACCUGAGAGGGUGAUCGGCCACACUGGGACUGAGACACGGCCCAGACUCCUACGGGAGGCAGCAGUAGGGAAUCUUCGGCAAUGGGGGCAACCCUGACCGAGCAACGCCGCGUGAGUGAAGAAGGUUUUCGGAUCGUAAAGCUCUGUUGUAAGUCAAGAACGAGUGUGAGAGUGGAAAGUUCACACUGUGACGGUAGCUUACCAGAAAGGGACGGCUAACUACGUGCCAGCAGCCGCGGUAAUACGUAGGUCCCGAGCGUUGUCCGGAUUUAUUGGGCGUAAAGCGAGCGCAGGCGGUUUGAUAAGUCUGAAGUUAAAGGCUGUGGCUCAACCAUAGUUCGCUUUGGAAACUGUCAAACUUGAGUGCAGAAGGGGAGAGUGGAAUUCCAUGUGUAGCGGUGAAAUGCGUAGAUAUAUGGAGGAACACCGGUGGCGAAAGCGGCUCUCUGGUCUGUAACUGACGCUGAGGCUCGAAAGCGUGGGGAGCGAACAGG
RNAcentral lists this ribosomal RNA (764 nucleotides) under uncultured Streptococcus sp. RNAcentral describes it as "bacterial SSU rRNA". It matches the Rfam family "Bacterial small subunit ribosomal RNA", at positions 28 to 776 of the family's 1533-position model. The record is from RNAcentral. Lineage: Bacteria; Bacillati; Bacillota; Bacilli; Lactobacillales; Streptococcaceae.